RNAcentral lists this ribosomal RNA (494 nucleotides) under uncultured bacterium. Its description in RNAcentral is "partial 16S ribosomal RNA". It matches the Rfam family "Bacterial small subunit ribosomal RNA", at positions 28 to 507 of the family's 1533-position model. The record is from RNAcentral.
GACGAACGCUGGCGGCGUGCUUAACACAUGCAAGUCGAACGGAAAGGCCUGCUUUCCCUUGUGGAUUGCGGGUACUCGAGUGGCGAACGGGUGAGUAACACGUGAGUGAUCUGCCCCCAACUUGGGUAUAAGCCUGGGAAACUGGGUCUAAUUCCCGAUAGGACUGCAGGGUGGUGCCUGUGGUGGAACACGAUUUUCUAGUGGUUGGGGAUGAGCUCGCGGCCUAUCAGCUUGUUGGUGGGGUAAUGGCCUACCAAGGCGGCGACGGGUAGCCGGCCUGAGAGGGGGGACGGCGACACUGGGACAGGGUCACGGCCCAGACGCGAACGGGCAGCAGCGGUGGGGAAUAUAGGAGAGUGAGCGGAAGCCUGACGCAGCGACGCGGCGAGGGGGAUGACGGGCUUCGGGUGGUAAACUCCUUUCGAAGGCGAGGAAGCCACCUGGUUGGAAGGGUGGUGACGGUAGUGGUAGAAGAAGCACCGGCUAACUACGUG